This 80-nucleotide non-coding RNA is filed under the name Citrobacter portucalensis. RNAcentral describes it as "TPP riboswitch (THI element)". It matches the Rfam family "TPP riboswitch aptamer (THI element)", at positions 9 to 90 of the family's 105-position model. From Rfam's summary of the family: Vitamin B(1) in its active form thiamin pyrophosphate (TPP) is an essential coenzyme that is synthesised by coupling of pyrimidine and thiazole moieties in bacteria. The previously detected thiamin-regulatory element, thi box was extended, resulting in a new, highly conserved RNA secondary structure, the THI element, which is widely distributed in eubacteria and also occurs in some archaea. Lineage: Bacteria; Pseudomonadati; Pseudomonadota; Gammaproteobacteria; Enterobacterales; Enterobacteriaceae. The record is from RNAcentral.
CAACGGGGUGCUAUGCAAUAUGCUGGCUGAGAGAUACCCGUCGAACCUGAUCCGGAUAAUGCCGGCGAAGGGAUUUGAGG